ACUAAAACUUCAAUUGUCUCC
RNAcentral lists this microRNA (21 nucleotides) under Ananas comosus (pineapple). Its description in RNAcentral is "microRNA s0162_c068". The record is from RNAcentral. Lineage: Eukaryota; Viridiplantae; Streptophyta; Magnoliopsida; Poales; Bromeliaceae.